RNAcentral lists this transfer RNA (93 nucleotides) under Burkholderia puraquae. RNAcentral's name for it is "tRNA-Arg". The record is from RNAcentral. Lineage: Bacteria; Pseudomonadati; Pseudomonadota; Betaproteobacteria; Burkholderiales; Burkholderiaceae.
CCGGGCAGGGCGCGGCGGCGCCGCACGUGUUUUGCGGCGACACGCUGUUCUCGUGCGGCUGCGGCCGCCUGUUCGAAGGCACGCCCGCGCAGA